GCUCCGGAUCAGGUCAAGAAAAGCCAAGCCAAGUACGGAUUCAACGAGCUGCCCGCUGAAGAAGGUAAGAGCAUCUGGGAGCUGGUGGUUGAGCAGUUUGAAGAUCUCUUGGUCAGGAUCCUGCUGUUGGCUGC
Long non-coding RNA from Sinocyclocheilus rhinocerous, 134 nucleotides. RefSeq lists it as uncharacterized. Lineage: Eukaryota; Metazoa; Chordata; Actinopteri; Cypriniformes; Cyprinidae. The transcript has 3 exons. The record is from RefSeq and is a predicted model, not a curated record.